GGAUUUGGGUGCAAAAUGGAUAGCGCGGGACGCCUCCUAAGCGUCAGGCCAAGGGUUCAAAUCCCUUCGAGCCCG
This 75-nucleotide transfer RNA is filed under the name Nitrososphaeraceae archaeon. Its description in RNAcentral is "tRNA-Arg". It matches the Rfam family "tRNA". Rfam says of the family: Transfer RNA (tRNA) molecules are approximately 80 nucleotides in length. Their secondary structure includes four short double-helical elements and three loops (D, anti-codon, and T loops). The record is from RNAcentral. Lineage: Archaea; Thermoproteati; Nitrososphaerota; Nitrososphaeria; Nitrososphaerales; Nitrososphaeraceae.